RNAcentral lists this unclassified non-coding RNA (269 nucleotides) under Lactarius badiosanguineus. Its description in RNAcentral is "partial internal transcribed spacer 2". The record is from RNAcentral. Lineage: Eukaryota; Fungi; Basidiomycota; Agaricomycetes; Russulales; Russulaceae.
AAACCUCAACCUCCUUGGUUUCUUCUGGAGACCAAAGCAGGCUUGGACUUUGGAGGCCUUUGCUGGUGCCUCUCUCUUUUGAAGGCCAGCUCCUCUUAAACAAAUUAGCAGGGUCCUCUUUGCCGAUCCUCGACGUGUGAUAAGAUGUUUCCAUGUCUUGGUUUCUGGCUCUGUAACUUUUGGGACCCGCUUCUAACCGGCUGGACCUUGCGUCGAGACAAUGUUCGAGCGCGUCUCCCUUCUCGGGAAGCUCCCUCGACCCCACGAAC